GAUAGGAAAGUAAAGACUCUAAAACUUAUGUGAAGGAAUUCAGGGAACUAAAGGGAAAGGAGUACAGCUGACCCACAUCUGGCAUAAGCUCAUAAAAACCUUGUUGCAGAUGAUGAGAUAUGAUGUGGCAAUGAGGUAUGUGCAUGGCCUGCUGUGGGGCCUCUAAAUGGUCUAGUACAUAGUUCUGAAACAAAUUGCAGGCUAAAAGGAAAGGAGUCAAACUUCACAAUUUUCAAGUUGCUUCUAUUGGCUGACUUUUCAAAGGUUCUUCAGUGGGAACUGAAAAAGGAAGUGACUGAGCUGACAGUAUAAUUGACAUUCAUCUGGGCUCUGCAAAAUUCCCCCUCCCAUGAGAUGAGGAGACAAAGAAGGAACUGAUACAACAUGCCCUCUGUGCCAAGAGAAAUAAAAUCCUUAUCUCCACCCCAGGGCUCAUGUGUCUUCUGCCAGUAUCCAUGAAACAGUAACAGACUCUAGAAUGAUGUUUUUUCUGGAAGAAGAGGUACCAGUGAAACUUAUGAGGAGCCAUCAGAGUUUAGAGUUCUUCCCUCCUGUAGACAAGUCCCUUCAACUUGAGUUGUCCGGUGCCUGUGAUGUCCUUCCAAUUUCUUUCUUUUUCAUCCUCCCAAGGUGCAUAUGUGCAUGGAAACAGCACUCACACCUCUUGAGAAGCAACUGAACUUUGUCUAUACCAACUUGGUCAACUUCAGAGGGUUGUUUUGAGAGAGGAGGAAAUACAUACUUAUUUUUUUCAUUCCAGCAGAACAAUGGCAAACAAGGGUUUUCAGUACAAUUCAAGAGACAUUUACAAAAUGACUUUUUUGUUUUCAUUCAAAUGAAAACUGCUUUAUGAAAAUUCAUGAGGAAAAAUUAUAU
This is a long non-coding RNA of Talpa occidentalis (Iberian mole), 876 nucleotides long. RefSeq lists it as uncharacterized. The transcript is spliced from 4 exons. The record is from RefSeq and is a predicted model, not a curated record. NCBI's taxonomy places the organism in Eukaryota, Metazoa, Chordata, Mammalia, Eulipotyphla, Talpidae.